This 253-nucleotide ribosomal RNA is filed under the name uncultured bacterium. RNAcentral describes it as "partial 16S ribosomal RNA". It matches the Rfam family "Bacterial small subunit ribosomal RNA", at positions 524 to 776 of the family's 1533-position model. The record is from RNAcentral.
UACAGAGGGUGCGAGCGUUAAUCGGAUUUACUGGGCGUAAAGCGUGUGUAGGUGGUGACGUAAGUCGGGUGUGAAAUCCCUGGGCUCAACCUAGGAACUGCAUUCGAUACUGCGUGACUAGAGUACGGCAGAGGGUGGCGGAACUCCGGGUGUAGCGGUGAAAUGCGUAGAUAUCCGGAAGAACAUCAAUGGCGAAGGCAGCCACCUGGGCCUGUACUGACACUGAGACACGAAAGCGUGGGGAUCAAACAGG